GAUGAAGAACGCAGCGAAAUGCGAUAAGUAAUGUGAAUUGCAGAAUUCAGUGAAUCAUCGAAUCUUUGAACGCACAUUGCGCCCGCCAGAAUUCUGGCGGGCAUGCCUGUUCGAGCGUCAUUUCAACCCUCGGUCUCCCUCCGGGAGAGACCGGCGUUGGGGACCGGCACUUACCCCGCCGGCCCCGAAAUGAAGUGGCGGCCCGUCCGCGGCGACCUCUGCGUAGUAGCUCCACUCGCACCGGGACCCGGGCGCGGCCACGCCGUAAAACCCCCAACUUCCGAAUGUUGACCUCGAAUCAGGUAGGAAUACCCGCUGAACUUAAGCAUAUCAAUAAGCGGAGGA
This 345-nucleotide unclassified non-coding RNA is filed under the name soil metagenome. RNAcentral describes it as "partial contains 5.8S ribosomal RNA, internal transcribed spacer 2, and large subunit ribosomal RNA". The stretch from base 1 to 120 matches the Rfam family "5.8S ribosomal RNA", at positions 35 to 154 of the family's 154-position model. The record is from RNAcentral.